GGAACAGUACGUCAUCGCCUUAGUCCUUAGUAAGGGUAGACAUGCAAAAUGUCUGCCCUUUGGGUCCUGCCAUAGAGUUAUAUUACAAGUGUCCUUCCAAGAAGGCUCAAGGUCAUUGGCCACAGAUAAAAUGACGUCAAAUCACAUUAUAUGUAUAGUAGCUUUGACUGGACUGAUCAUGUCAACAUCUUACUUUCAAAGUCUUAGCUAGCAGUCAUCAUCAUGAAUCAAGUCAACAAUCUACUGGCAAAUCCCUUUUAAUCCUUGUCAAGUUGGAAAUCGCAAAUUCAACAAUGAGUCGUUUGGAAAGAAUCCUCUAAGCAUUGCAAAGCAACUACUAACAUUAGCCUGCUAUUCAAUGGAGUGGCGGUGUUUUUUUCCAGAGUUCCUACCAUAAAUCCAGAGAAUGCCGGACUUUGAUGACAAAGUUUGAUGACAAAAUUUGCCCACAAUGGACCGCCGCGCCCCCUUCACAAGGACCUGAGCCCUAGGACUAUGCCUCAGGACUACCUGACAUGAUGACUCCUUGCUGUCCCCAGUCCACCUGGCUGUGCUGCUGCUCCAGUUUCAACUGUUCUGCCUUAUUAUUAUUGGACCAUGCUGGUCAUUUAUGAACAUUUGAACAUCUUGGCCAUGUUCUGUUAUAAUCUCCACCCGGCACAGCCAGAAGAGGACUGGCCACCCCACAUAGCCUGGUUCCUCUCUAGGUUUCUUCCUAGGUUUUGGCCUUUCUAGGGAGUUUUUCCUAGCCACCGUGCUUCUACACCUGCAUUGCUUGCUGUUUGGGGUUUUAGGCUGGGUUUCUGUACAGCACUUUGAGAUAUCAGCUGAUGUACGAAGGGCUAUAUAAAUACAUUUGAUUUGAUUUUGAGUUUAGUUUUAGAGUUACGGUUUUGAGGUUAGGUUAAGGGUUAGGUAAAAUAGGAUUUUGAAUCAGAAUCAAUUGUUUGAUCCCCACAAGGAUUGUAAAACACACGUGUGUGCUGUGUACAAUGCCAAUUACCUCAGCCUCAUGGUAAAUACUCAGAGGAACCUUUAAAAGGCAUUCAGCCUGAGAGGAGCCAUAUGAUAUGACAGAGGCCUGGAGUAAUUCCCCCUGGCCCCACACACUCCAGCACGCACCAUCACAAGCACACAAGCACGCAAACACACACACACACACACACCACACAUUACUUAACCAUGAAUAGUCUUGUAGGCGGAGAGUAAAAGGUGCUGGAGAACUGCUUGCCUGGCUGACCACAGUGCAUACGUGUGUGUGAAAGUAUUUUCUCUCUAGGACAAUAAGCGGUCUGCCAUCAACAUGAUCUCUUCCGAUUUGACCAAUAUGACUUCAGAUUCUGUUUUUCCACGCUUCACCAAACGUCAAAUUUUGAAGUUGCUCCAAACGUCAAAUAUCUAAGUGUCUUUAACACCCUGGGUUGACUCCUGCUCAGCAUCAUUCUGUUUCUUCAAACGUCAAAUUUCGAAAGUUGUAACUUUUUUUGUUAACAGUUUAAGUUUUUGAUAGGGUUAAAACAUGACGUUUAGCCAUUUAUUCCACACGGUUAAGGUAAGGGUUAAGGUAUAGGAUAGGGUUCAACACAAAAAGCUUAAAAAACAAUUGUCUACCACUGGAAUUGAACACGCAACCUUCAGAUCCGGAGUCAUUGAAUGCAUAACAUUUGAACGCAUAACAUUUGGAUUCCGGAGUCAUGGGAUUAAAUCCAUCCACAAUGCCCUCGCAAAACCCAAAGACUACUUGAUGGUGAUUAGUGCUCACUGUUGCCCCUAGUGGCAACAGUCAAUCUUGAGCCAUCUGCCUGCUGCCAUUGCGAUGCUUUCUGAAAGGAACACUUUAUGAUGGGCAUGUUUACCUUUCUGUCUUUUUGUUUAAUUUUGUUUGAUCCAAGGCUUGUCGGCACAAGAGUUAAUUCAUACAGUCAGUGGAACCAUUGUGAAAAGUAAGCGUUUGUGUGGUAAGAGGAAGUAGGAGUGGACACAUUUUUAUAAUCAUAGUAACUCACUACAGUUGGCAACAAGCAGCUUAGCUCACUCACAAAUCUACUUCCACAGUGCUGUUUUAACUAGGACAUUGUGUUCAACUGAGGAUUUGGAGUUUAUGAUCUGAUCGGGGUCAUGUUAAAUGUAUGAUCUGAUCGGGGUCAUGUUUAAUGUAUGAUCUGAUCGGGGUCAUGUUAAAUGUAUGAUCUGAUCGGGGUCAUGUUAAAUGUAUGAUCUGAUCGGGGUCAUGUUAAAUGUAUGAUCUGAUCGGGGUCAUGUUAAAUUAAAUGUAUGAUCUGAUCGGGGUCAUGUUAAAUGCAUGAUCUGAUCGGGGUCAUGUUAAAUGCAUGAUCUGAUCGGGGUCAUGUUAAAUGCAUGAUCUGAUCGGGG
Molecule: long non-coding RNA, 2373 nt
Organism: Oncorhynchus tshawytscha (Chinook salmon)
Lineage: Eukaryota; Metazoa; Chordata; Actinopteri; Salmoniformes; Salmonidae
Source: Ensembl